Molecule: ribosomal RNA, 2588 nt
Filed under: Escherichia coli
Lineage: Bacteria; Pseudomonadati; Pseudomonadota; Gammaproteobacteria; Enterobacterales; Enterobacteriaceae
Description: partial 23S ribosomal RNA
Rfam family: Bacterial large subunit ribosomal RNA
Source: RNAcentral
GCGAUACAGGGUGACAGCCCCGUACACAAAAAUGCACAUAUUGUGAGCUCGAUGAGUAGGGCGGGACACGUGGUAUCCUGUCUGAAUAUGGGGGGACCAUCCUCCAAGGCUAAAUACUCCUGACUGACCGAUAGUGAACCAGUACCGUGAGGGAAAGGCGAAAAGAACCCCGGCGAGGGGAGUGAAAAAGAACCUGAAACCGUGUACGUACAAGCAGUGGGAGCCUCUUAAUGGGGUGACUGCGUACCUUUUGUAUAAUGGGUCAGCGACUUAUAUUCUGUAGCAAGGUUAACCGAAUAGGGGAGCCGAAGGGAAACCGAGUCUUAACUGGGCGUUAAGUUGCAGGGUAUAGACCCGAAACCCGGUGAUCUAGCCAUGGGCAGGUUGAAGGUUGGGUAACACUAACUGGAGGACCGAACCGACUAAUGUUGAAAAAUUAGCGGAUGACUUGUGGCUGGGGGUGAAAGGCCAAUCAAACCGGGAGAUAGCUGGUUCUCCCCGAAAGCUAUUUAGGUAGCGCCUCGUGAAUUCAUCUCCGGGGGUAGAGCACUGUUUCGGCAAGGGGGUCAUCCCGACUUACCAACCCGAUGCAAACUGCGAAUACCGGAGAAUGUUAUCACGGGAGACACACGGCGGGUGCUAACGUCCGUCGUGAAGAGGGAAACAACCCAGACCGCCAGCUAAGGUCCCAAAGUCAUGGUUAAGUGGGAAACGAUGUGGGAAGGCCCAGACAGCCAGGAUGUUGGCUUAGAAGCAGCCAUCAUUUAAAGAAAGCGUAAUAGCUCACUGGUCGAGUCGGCCUGCGCGGAAGAUGUAACGGGGCUAAACCAUGCACCGAAGCUGCGGCAGCGACACUAUGUGUUGUUGGGUAGGGGAGCGUUCUGUAAGCCUGUGAAGGUGGCCUGUGAGGGUUGCUGGAGGUAUCAGAAGUGCGAAUGCUGACAUAAGUAACGAUAAAGCGGGUGAAAAGCCCGCUCGCCGGAAGACCAAGGGUUCCUGUCCAACGUUAAUCGGGGCAGGGUGAGUCGACCCCUAAGGCGAGGCCGAAAGGCGUAGUCGAUGGGAAACAGGUUAAUAUUCCUGUACUUGGUGUUACUGCGAAGGGGGGACGGAGAAGGCUAUGUUGGCCGGGCGACGGUUGUCCCGGUUUAAGCGUGUAGGCUGGUUUUCCAGGCAAAUCCGGAAAACCAAGGCUGAGGCGUGAUGACGAGGCACUACGGUGCUGAAGCGACAAAUGCCCUGCUUCCAGGAAAAGCCUCUAAGCAUCAGGUAACAUCAAAUCGUACCCCAAACCGACACAGGUGGUCAGGUAGAGAAUACCAAGGCGCUUGAGAGAACUCGGGUGAAGGAACUAGGCAAAAUGGUGCCGUAACUUCGGGAGAAGGCACGCUGAUAUGUAGGUGAAGCGACUUGCUCGUGGAGCUGAAAUCAGUCGAAGAUACCAGCUGGCUGCAACUGUUUAUUAAAAACACAGCACUGUGCAAACACGAAAGUGGACGUAUACGGUGUGACGCCUGCCCGGUGCCGGAAGGUUAAUUGAUGGGGUUAGCGGCAACGCGAAGCUCUUGAUCGAAGCCCCGGUAAACGGCGGCCGUAACUAUAACGGUCCUAAGGUAGCGAAAUUCCUUGUCGGGUAAGUUCCGACCUGCACGAAUGGCGUAAUGAUGGCCAGGCUGUCUCCACCCGAGACUCAGUGAAAUUGAACUCGCUGUGAAGAUGCAGUGUACCCGCGGCAAGACGGAAAGACCCCGUGAACCUUUACUAUAGCUUGACACUGAACAUUGAGCCUUGAUGUGUAGGAUAGGUGGGAGGCUUUGAAGUGUGGACGCCAGUCUGCAUGGAGCCGACCUUGAAAUACCACCCUUUAAUGUUUGAUGUUCUAACGUUGGCCCGUAAUCCGGGUUGCGGACAGUGUCUGGUGGGUAGUUUGACUGGGGCGGUCUCCUCCUAAAGAGUAACGGAGGAGCACGAAGGUUGGCUAAUCCUGGUCGGACAUCAGGAGGUUAGUGCAAUGGCAUAAGCCAGCUUGACUGCGAGCGUGACGGCGCGAGCAGGUGCGAAAGCAGGUCAUAGUGAUCCGGUGGUUCUGAAUGGAAGGGCCAUCGCUCAACGGAUAAAAGGUACUCCGGGGAUAACAGGCUGAUACCGCCCAAGAGUUCAUAUCGACGGCGGUGUUUGGCACCUCGAUGUCGGCUCAUCACAUCCUGGGGCUGAAGUAGGUCCCAAGGGUAUGGCUGUUCGCCAUUUAAAGUGGUACGCGAGCUGGGUUUAGAACGUCGUGAGACAGUUCGGUCCCUAUCUGCCGUGGGCGCUGGAGAACUGAGGGGGGCUGCUCCUAGUACGAGAGGACCGGAGUGGACGCAUCACUGGUGUUCGGGUUGUCAUGCCAAUGGCACUGCCCGGUAGCUAAAUGCGGAAGAGAUAAGUGCUGAAAGCAUCUAAGCACGAAACUUGCCCCGAGAUGAGUUCUCCCUGACUCCUUGAGAGUCCUGAAGGAACGUUGAAGACGACGACGUUGAUAGGCCGGGUGUGUAAGCGCAGCGAUGCGUUGAGCUAACCGGUACUAAUGAACCGUGAGGCUUAACCUU